CUGUUAUGAUACUAUUAAGAAUUUCAUUGAACUGGUAUGGUAUUUGCGAAACAGGGAUAUCGUCGACUGAAUCCGACGAAUUCAAGUCUUUAAAGAAAUCAAAGAGAACAUCGAUUGAAACUUUUGGACUACGAUUUUCCCUUUUUUCAUUUAAUAUUUUCAAGAACUCCUUCAAGUUACUGUUUUCUUUUAAAUUUUGCAUCUUUUUUC
Molecule: long non-coding RNA, 210 nt
Filed under: Mytilus galloprovincialis (Mediterranean mussel)
Lineage: Eukaryota; Metazoa; Mollusca; Bivalvia; Mytilida; Mytilidae
Source: RNAcentral